UACAGAGGUCCCGAGCGUUGUUCGGAUUCAUUGGGCGUAAAGGGUGCGUAGGUGGCGCUGUAAGUGGGGUGUGAAAUCCCGGGGCUUAACUCCGGAACUGCAUUCGAUACUGCCGUGCUUGAGGACUGGAGAGGAGACUGGAAUUUACGGUGUAGCGGUGAAAUGCGUAGAUAUCGUAAGGAAGACCAGUGGCGAAGGCGGGUCUCUGGACAGUUCCUGACGCUGAGGCACGAAGGCCAGGGGAGCAAACGGG
This 253-nucleotide ribosomal RNA is filed under the name uncultured bacterium. Its description in RNAcentral is "partial 16S ribosomal RNA". It matches the Rfam family "Bacterial small subunit ribosomal RNA", at positions 524 to 776 of the family's 1533-position model. The record is from RNAcentral.